Molecule: long non-coding RNA, 1814 nt
Filed under: Homo sapiens (human)
Lineage: Eukaryota; Metazoa; Chordata; Mammalia; Primates; Hominidae
Description: HSALNT0113189
Source: RNAcentral
AUAAAUUGUGUUCUCAAUAAAUAUAUCUUGAAUGAAUGAAUGAGUUUACCAACCAGCAAGUAUGUCUAGGAGUACUUGUUGUAUAAAUAUUUUAAUCAUAGUUUUCUCUAAGCCUUCUCUAGGAAGAUUAGUUUUAAUAUGUUAUAAACAUAGCAAUAUGAAUCCAACUAAUACUAAAACUACAGGUGUUUUAAUACAGGUGUGACAUACUUUUUUUCUGUCAGUAGAAAAGAGAGUAUCAGACCUUGAACUUGCAUCCAAUUGUCUGAAAGCACCAAAAACAGAAGCCCCUCCCCAAAGCACAAACUUUCCCUGAUGUUUACUUGUAGGAGAGUUUGGCAGCCAAGUUCCUGGAUGUUACAAAUUAAAUACUGCUCAUAGCCCUGCUUCCAACUGCCUUGUUGGCAAAAAUUUUGAAACUCUAGAAGGACCAUGCUCAGAAGCUAGACCUAGGGGGAAUGGUAAGCAAUGGAAACUCCUAAAUCCAAGAGAGGAACAGUGACUGCAUUCACCCACUUAAGAAAUCACUUAUCUUUAACAAUAGUUGUUUUUGUACUUUGGGGGGUUUGUGGCUAUUCCCUAAGAUCCUUUUUCCACUGACUUUUACAAGCAAUUUAGGGCCUCUUUUUCAACAGAUGUAAGUAAAUCAGCCUAUGAUAUUUCAACAUAAACUAUGUCAAAACGUUUCACAUUACUCUUUAAUUGUUUAUUUAUUUUUCCCAUGCUUUGAAAUUAUAAAAAAUUUGAGGGUGAUUUUAGGCUACACAUAAAAUGUGAUAGUCAAUUUGUUAGAGAAUAUAAAAUUACAGCUAGAUAGGAGGAAUAAGUUAUAGGGUUCUACAUCACUUUAGGAAGACUACAAUUAACAAUAAUAUAUAGUUUUAAAUAGCUAGAAGGAGAAUAUUGAACAUUCCCACACGAAGAAACGAUAGAUGUUUGAGAUGAUGGAUAUGCUAAUUACCCUGAUCUGAUCACUAUAUAUUAUAUGUAUCUAAAUAUCACUAUAUGCUUGUAAAUAUGUACAAUUAUUAUUUGUCAGUUAAAAUAAUCAGAACCAGAAAAAUUAAACUGUACACACACACACACAAAACCAAUCUGACAAACACUCAAGUAAUACAGUCUGACAUAAUUGGCUACAGGUAGGAAAUAAAUUUUGCUUUGAGUUUCCUGGAAAACAUAGUUCAAAAGAAAAGUCAGUUACAUAGUCUUCAUUGUAUAAAAGAAAAAAACUUGAGUUUCUCAGGCCAAGAAAAAAUUUCAUAGCACUAAGUUCUGAAAGAAAUUACUCAGUAUACUUGUGUAGGGAUUUUUUAAUGACAUGGUACACAAUGACCUCAAUAUCCACACAGCAUACAUAGAUAUUGAUUUUUUAAAGCUGCUUCUUGUGUUCUUCCAAACAGGUCAAUUUCAUGAUACUAAAAAACAGCCCAGAGACAUCAGUCUGCAUUGAAUUAAAAUAGUGCUCAAGGAUGUCACAUUCUUAGAAUGAACUCUGAAUAAAACCUACAUUAAAAAUCAGAAUGCAUGGAUUGCUUCACCUUUGAUUAUUCACCUGUUAAUAGAUGCAGAUAUGAAGUAUCACUGAUCGAAGGAGGUUCCAGUCAAAUACGUGAAGAUGAAGCAAAUGGACGUUGGCAAUCCUGGUUCUCAGACCUUCAGACUUGGACUGGGACUUACACCAUUGGCUCCUCUGAUUCUCAGGCCUUCAAAUUUGCACUGGAACCACACCCAACACCACUGGCUUUCCUAGGCUUCCAGCUGGCAGACAGCAGAUCAUGGGACAGCCUCCAUAAUCUAGUGACCGAAUUCUUCAU